GGUGAGGGCCCAGGGCUGGUAACUGUCCACAGGCAGCAGGGAGUCGUGGCGAGGCUCCCCCGGGGCGCCCAGAGUCUGCACCACCGACACAUCCAGCAAGGUGAGCGCCCGGUGGCUUCAUCAUCCCGCCUGGAACAGUGUAUAGGAUCGCGACGACCGCAGAACUCAGGGAAGCCCGGCAGGCGACAUCCCGGGGAUCAGUACCCUCUCAGGACAAAUCCAAGUGCUUCAGAAGCAGGGCCAGAGGAGAGAGCUACAAAAGGAGCCGAUGGGGGCCUCCAGCACAGAACACUGGAUCUGAGGAGCAAUGAAACGAUGGUCUGCUAAGGGAAGUGGCUAGUUCCAACCGCAGGCCGCUGCCGCCCGCCCUGAUGGUGCCUGGAAACCAGAGGAAGCGCUAAGCCAAG
Molecule: long non-coding RNA, 407 nt
Organism: Zalophus californianus (California sea lion)
Lineage: Eukaryota; Metazoa; Chordata; Mammalia; Carnivora; Otariidae
Exons: 3
Source: RefSeq, a predicted model, not a curated record